This 724-nucleotide ribosomal RNA is filed under the name Priestia megaterium. Its description in RNAcentral is "bacterial SSU rRNA". It matches the Rfam family "Bacterial small subunit ribosomal RNA", at positions 43 to 750 of the family's 1533-position model. Lineage: Bacteria; Bacillati; Bacillota; Bacilli; Caryophanales; Bacillaceae. The record is from RNAcentral.
GGGGCCUAAUCCUGCAGUCGAGCGAACUGAUUAGAAGCUUGCUUCUAUGACGUUAGCGGCGGACGGGUGAGUAACACGUGGGCAACCUGCCUGUAAGACUGGGAUAACUUCGGGAAACCGAAGCUAAUACCGGAUAGGAUCUUCUCCUUCAUGGGAGAUGAUUGAAAGAUGGUUUCGGCUAUCACUUACAGAUGGGCCCGCGGUGCAUUAGCUAGUUGGUGAGGUAACGGCUCACCAAGGCAACGAUGCAUAGCCGACCUGAGAGGGUGAUCGGCCACACUGGGACUGAGACACGGCCCAGACUCCUACGGGAGGCAGCAGUAGGGAAUCUUCCGCAAUGGACGAAAGUCUGACGGAGCAACGCCGCGUGAGUGAUGAAGGCUUUCGGGUCGUAAAACUCUGUUGUUAGGGAAGAACAAGUACAAGAGUAACUGCUUGUACCUUGACGGUACCUAACCAGAAAGCCACGGCUAACUACGUGCCAGCAGCCGCGGUAAUACGUAGGUGGCAAGCGUUAUCCGGAAUUAUUGGGCGUAAAGCGCGCGCAGGCGGUUUCUUAAGUCUGAUGUGAAAGCCCACGGCUCAACCGUGGAGGGUCAUUGGAAACUGGGGAACUUGAAUGCAGAAACAAAAGCUGAAUUCCACGUGUAGCGNUGAAAUGCGUAGAGAUGUGGAGGAACACCCGUGGCGAAGGCGGCUUCUUUGGCCUGUAACUGACGCUGAG